GAACCCUUGCUCACACAAUGACUUAUCUUUAUUGAUAUUAUACUUAUUUUUAUUGAUAUAUUUAAUUUAUCAAUCUUGAUAUUGUGAAUGAACAAGAGCAGCAUUUACUUAACUUCUUAGCCUAGUGGUUAUUCAUAUUGUAAUAUGUAGUUUGGUGAUCUAUUCUAUUCUGAUUUGUUUCUUCUCUUUCUCUGCAGGUUCCUUAAUCCCUGUCCUUUCCAAAUACUGAAUAUUAGCAGCAUCUUAUAACAUAAAAAAGGCACUUUUCAGAGCCACGUUUGUCUUGUUUAUUGUCUUAUUUGUAUUGUUUCUUGUCUUGUUAUUUGUCUCCCUCCUUCCCUCUCUCUCCCUCCCUCUCUCCCCUACCCUCUGAGUGGUGGUCGAGAAUACCUGUUUAGAGGGACGCAGAACCUGGGUUGCUGCCUCUUCUUCACUCCCCGCAAUCCACUCAAAGUGUAAAGAAUGACAAAGCCAAAAUCUAGGCCCUGCCCAAGCUGCCAGGUCCAUCAGCAGGCCAACCGCAAAACCUGCAGUGCUUGUUUCGCCACGCUGCCAAGCAAGCGGAUAUUAAAAACGGCACACAUUAAUGAUGACUAGAGCCAGAGGGUCAUCAAAAACAAAAAUGCAUCGCGGGUGGUGGCCUCUGCCCAAAUUGCUGUCCAAAAACUUUCUGCCUUGGGCUAUAUGCCCAUAUUCUUCUUCAGCCAGAGGCACAAGGGCACAGGCAAGUUGGUGGCAAACGUGGUCACGCAUCUGCCACCAACGCAAACCAACACGCGUUUAUUAACCAGCAUGAAGAAGGCCUACAACUUCAUUAUCAAACUUGAUGAUGUGGCCUAGCCCCAGCCCCAGCCCCAGCAAGACCAGCACCUCCCCCAAGACCAGCCCUAUCCCCAAGA
Sander lucioperca (pikeperch) is the source of this 899-nucleotide long non-coding RNA. RefSeq lists it as uncharacterized. The record is from RefSeq and is a predicted model, not a curated record. The transcript has 4 exons. NCBI's taxonomy places the organism in Eukaryota, Metazoa, Chordata, Actinopteri, Perciformes, Percidae.